AAAGAAACUAACAAGGAUUCCCCUAGUAACGGCGAGUGAAGCGGGAAAAGCUCAAAUUUGUAAUCUGGCGCCUUUGGCGUCCGAGUUGUAAUCUCGAGAAGUAUUUUCCGCGCUGGACCGCACAUAAGUCUGUUGGAAUACAGCGUCAUAGUGGUGAGAACCCCGUAUAGGGUGCGGAUGCCCAGUGCUUUGUGAUAUACUUUCGAAGAGUCGAGUUGUUUGGGAAUGCAGCUCAAAUUGGGUGGUAAAUUCCAUCUAAAGCUAAAUAUUGGCGAGAGACCGAUAGCGAACAAGUACCGUGAGGGAAAGAUGAAAAGCACUUUGGAAAGAGAGUUAACAGUACGUGAAAUUGUUGGAAGGGAAACGCUUGAAGUCAGACUUGCAUUUUGGAGUUCAGCCGUAAGGUGUAUUCUUCAAUUCGCAGGCCAGCAUCAGUUUUUGGGGGUGGAAAAUCGUGGUUUGAAGGUAGCAGUCUCGGCUGUGGUUUAUAAGCUUUCCACUGGAUUCACUUUURGGGACUGAGGAACGCAGUACGCUUUUUGCAAGAUUCUCGGAUCUUUCGUACUUAGGAUGCUGGUGGAAUGGCUUUAAACGACCCGUCUUGAAACACGGACCAAGGAGUCUAACAUGUUUGCGAGUGUUUGGGUGUCAAACCCGGACGCGUAAUGAAAGUGAAUGGAGGUGGGAUCCGCAAGGUGCACCAUCGACCGAUCUGGAUUUUCUAAGAUGGAUUUGAGUAAGAGCAAUUAUGUUGGGACCCGAAAGAUGGUGAACUAUGCCUGAAUAGGGUGAAGCCAGAGGAAACUCUGGUGGAGGCUCGUAGCGGUUCUGACGUGCAAAUCGAUCGUCAAAUUUGGGUAUAGGGGCGAAAGACUAAUCGAACCAUCUAAAUGUUGCUUGGUGGUUAAUAGGGACUUCAAAGUAGAGCCCUAGUGGGAGUGGUAACUUGCGACACUUUCAAAUUGCGGGGACGCCCUUAGAGCUCUAAUUACGGCGGCUCAUCGAAAGAUAGAGUGCAGCAGCAGGUUAAUGGCCUCGCGGAUCGUAAAAACAUUAGAGAUUGGGUAAUCCGCAGCCAAGUCCUAAGUAGCGCCUUGGAGUCGCUAUAUGGAUGCAGUUCAUCGACUAAAUGGAAGUGGGUGUCCUUUCUUAACCGGAAGGGUGCUUGAGAUAUAGUCAGCCCCUCGUGAGAGCGAGCUAAUGGGACGAAGAUUCGAUUCGUUUUUACCACUAUAAACGACGUUUCCCGAGCCCAUUGGGGUCUAAUAAGAGGACAUAGUAAACCUCUUGAAGACUGGAUUACGUGCUAGUAGCUGGUUCCUGCCGAAGUUUCCCUCAGGAUAGCAGAAACUCACAUCAGUUCUAUGAGGUAAAGCGAAUGAUUAGAGGCCUUGGGGUUGAAACAACCUUAACCUAUUCUCAAACUUUAAAUAUGUAGGAAGUCCUUGCUACUUAAUGAGCGAGGACA
This 1468-nucleotide ribosomal RNA is filed under the name Microbotryum silenes-dioicae. RNAcentral describes it as "LSU rRNA". It matches the Rfam family "Eukaryotic large subunit ribosomal RNA", at positions 58 to 1107 of the family's 3401-position model. Lineage: Eukaryota; Fungi; Basidiomycota; Microbotryomycetes; Microbotryales; Microbotryaceae. The record is from RNAcentral.